RNAcentral lists this ribosomal RNA (253 nucleotides) under uncultured bacterium. Its description in RNAcentral is "partial 16S ribosomal RNA". It matches the Rfam family "Bacterial small subunit ribosomal RNA", at positions 524 to 776 of the family's 1533-position model. The record is from RNAcentral.
UACGUAGGGGGCAAGCGUUGUCCGGAAUCAUUGGGCGUAAAGAGCGCGUAGGCGGUCCGGUAAGUCCGCUCUGAAAGUCCGGGGCUCAACCCCGGGAGGCGGGCGAAUACUGUCGGGCUAGAGUCCGGAAGAGGCGAGUGGAAUUCCUGGUGUAGCGGUGAAAUGCGCAGAUAUCAGGAGGAACACCAAUGGCGAAGGCAGCUCGCUGGGACGGUACUGACGCUGAGGCACGAAAGCGUGGGGAGCAAACAGG